RNAcentral lists this transfer RNA (73 nucleotides) under Camelus bactrianus (Bactrian camel). It matches the Rfam family "tRNA". Rfam says of the family: Transfer RNA (tRNA) molecules are approximately 80 nucleotides in length. RNAcentral also lists the same sequence under 2 other names. Lineage: Eukaryota; Metazoa; Chordata; Mammalia; Artiodactyla; Camelidae. The record is from Rfam by way of RNAcentral.
GGCAGCGUGAUUUAGUGGAAAGAAUACAGGCUUUAUACUCAAGAUUCAAUGGGUUCAAAUCCCAGCUCUGCCA